CAUGCAAGUCGAACGCUUCUUUUUCCACCGGAGCUUGCUCCACCGGAAAAAGAGGAGUGGCGAACGGGUGAGUAACACGUGGGUAACCUGCCCAUCAGAAGGGGAUAACACUUGGAAACAGGUGCUAAUACCGUAUAACAAUCAAAACCGCAUGGUUUUGAUUUGAAAGGCGCUUUCGGGUGUCGCUGAUGGAUGGACCCGCGGUGCAUUAGCUAGUUGGUGAGGUAACGGCUCACCAAGGCCACGAUGCAUAGCCGACCUGAGAGGGUGAUCGGCCACAUUGGGACUGAGACACGGCCCAAACUCCUACGGGAGGCAGCAGUAGGGAAUCUUCGGCAAUGGACGAAAGUCUGACCGAGCAACGCCGCGUGAGUGAAGAAGGUUUUCGGAUCGUAAAACUCUGUUGUUAGAGAAGAACAAGGAUGAGAGUAACUGUUCAUCCCUUGACGGUAUCUAACCAGAAAGCCACGGCUAACUACGUGCCAGCAGCCGCGGUAAUACGUAGGUGGCAAGCGUUGUCCGGAUUUAUUGGGCGUAAAGCGAGCGCAGGCGGUUUCUUAAGUCUGAUGUGAAAGCCCCCGGCUCAACCGGGGAGGGUCAUUGGAAACUGGGAGACUUGAGUGCAGAAGAGGAGAGUGGAAUUCCAUGUGUAGCGGUGAAAUGCGUAGAUAUAUGGAGGAACACCAGUGGCGAAGGCGGCUCUCUGGUCUGUAACUGACGCUGAGGCUCGAAAGCGUGGGGAGCAAACAGGAUUAGAUACCCUGGUAGUCCACGCCGUAACGAUGAGUGCUAAGUGUUGGAGGGUUUCCGCCCUUCAGUGCUGCAGCUAACGCAUUAAGCACUCCGCCUGGGGAGUACGACCGCAAGGUUG
This 871-nucleotide ribosomal RNA is filed under the name Enterococcus faecium. RNAcentral describes it as "bacterial SSU rRNA". It matches the Rfam family "Bacterial small subunit ribosomal RNA", at positions 54 to 896 of the family's 1533-position model. Lineage: Bacteria; Bacillati; Bacillota; Bacilli; Lactobacillales; Enterococcaceae. The record is from RNAcentral.